UGACCGUACUAAAACUGACACAGGUAGGCGAGAUGAGUAGUCUCAGGCGCUCGGGAGAACGGUGGUUAAGGAACUCUGCAAAAUGGCUCCGUAAGUUCGCGAUAAGGGGCGCCUACGUAAGUAGGCCACAGAAAAUCGGCACUAGCGACUGUUUAUCAAAAACACAGGUCUCUGCCAACUCGUAAGAGGACGUAUAGAGACUGACGCCUGCCCGGUGCUGGUAGGUUAAGGAAGGCGGUUAGCAUCUUCGGAUGCGAAGCUGGCGACCGAAGCCCCAGUAAACGGCGGCCCUAACUAUGAGGGUCCUAAGGUAGCGAAGUUCCUUGUCGGGUAAGUUCCGACCUGCAUGAAAGGCGUAACGACUGGUGCACUGUCUCAACCACCGACCCCGGUGAAAUUGUAGUCGUGGUGAAGAUGCCACGUACCCGCGGUUAGACGGAAAGACCCCAUGAACCUUCACUGUAGGCUGAUAUUGGGCUGAGGUAU
Molecule: ribosomal RNA, 486 nt
Filed under: uncultured bacterium
Lineage: Bacteria
Description: bacterial LSU rRNA
Rfam family: Bacterial large subunit ribosomal RNA
Source: RNAcentral